Molecule: ribosomal RNA, 120 nt
Filed under: Carlito syrichta (Philippine tarsier)
Lineage: Eukaryota; Metazoa; Chordata; Mammalia; Primates; Tarsiidae
Source: RNAcentral
GUCUACAGCCACACCACCCUAAGAGCACCCAGUCUCAUCUGAUCUCAGAAAAUAAGCAGGGUCAGGCCUGGUUAGGACUUGGAAAGGAAACCUCCUGGGAAUGCCAUGUCCUGUACGAUU